Molecule: ribosomal RNA, 30 nt
Filed under: Saccharomyces cerevisiae (brewer's yeast)
Lineage: Eukaryota; Fungi; Ascomycota; Saccharomycetes; Saccharomycetales; Saccharomycetaceae
Description: partial 18S ribosomal RNA
Source: RNAcentral
GCCUAGGCAUUUUGUGUUUUGAAUGGAUUU